This is a long non-coding RNA of Papaver somniferum (opium poppy), 655 nucleotides long. RefSeq lists it as uncharacterized. The record is from RefSeq and is a predicted model, not a curated record. The transcript is spliced from 5 exons. NCBI's taxonomy places the organism in Eukaryota, Viridiplantae, Streptophyta, Magnoliopsida, Ranunculales, Papaveraceae.
UUGUUUUACAAAUUGGGGGAGAAGAACAAGAAGAAGUUGGUUUCGGUGGUGAUGAAGAAUACUCAACCAUGGCUGAACAGCUCAAAAGUGGCUGGUUUAGUGAUUUGUUUUAUCUAGCUCAAAAGUUUCUGAAAAGGGAAAUCCUCCUGGAAAGGUAUAAAUUUGGAACUGCAAUAAAGUUGGUUUGGGAUUCAAGACUCCUAGCUAUUAAUGUUCCGUGCAAUUUGUUUUCAUUGUAAGCCUUUUGACACCUAUGAUGCUUCCUAUCAAAUCAAAGGAAAGUCUAGUUUUCCAUGUUGGUUUUCGCCAGUUUGUUGCUAGGUUUGAAGAUGAAUAUCAUGAAGAUAGUUGCAGCAAAUUCAGGAGUAGAGAAACAAAUCGUGUGAUUCUUGAUGAUUACUUAGAAGAUUAUUACUUGACAACAGUGUAUGGAGAUUUUCUUCUUCAACAGAGGCCAUCAAUAGAGAACUGGAUAAUAGAUGCAAGUCUAGUUUGAAUCAGGUGUGAGGGAGAUCAAGUUAGAGACAGUGUUCUUAUGUGUAAGCCUCAUGGACAGUUUAAUAAGCCAAGGCUUCUUUAGAAACAAAAAGAAGCUUCAAUUGCUUGGAAUUUCUUGCCUCACCUUAGCCACAAGAAUAGAAGAAAAUCAGACGUA